This 207-nucleotide ribosomal RNA is filed under the name uncultured bacterium. Its description in RNAcentral is "partial 16S ribosomal RNA". It matches the Rfam family "Bacterial small subunit ribosomal RNA", at positions 568 to 774 of the family's 1533-position model. The record is from RNAcentral.
UGCGCAGGCGGAAGGAUAAGUCAGUGGUGAAAUCUCACAGCUCAACUGUGAAACUGCCAUUGAUACUGUUUUUCUUGAAUGCGGUUGAGGUAGGCGGAAUACGUUAUGUAGCGGUGAAAUGCUUAGAUAUAACGUAGAACACCGAUUGCGAAGGCAGCUUACUAAGCCGUAAUUGACGCUGAGGCACGAAAGCGUGGGGAGCGAACA